GAGUUGAUCAUGGCUCAGGACGAACGCUGGCGGCAUGCUUCAUACAUGCAAGUCGAACGAUAAGGUCUCUCCGGAGAUACAUAAGUGGCGGACGGGUGAGUAAUAUGUAGGAAAUCUGCCCUAGAGAGGGGGACAACAGAGGGAAACUUCUGCUAAUACCCCAUAUGAGCGUACCUGAAAUGGUAUUCUUGAAAACUCCGGUGCUCUAGGAUGAGCCUGCAUCUGAUUAGCUAGUUGGCGGUGUAAUGGACCACCAAGGCGACGAUCAGUAGCUGGUUUGAGAGGAUGAUCAGCCACAAUGGGACUGAGACACGGCCCAUACUCCUACGGGAGGCAGCAGUAGGGAAUUUUGCGCAAUGGGCGAAAGCCUGACGCAGCAAUGCCGCGUGAACGUAGAAGCCCUUCGGGGUGUAAAGUUCUGUCAGUGGGGACGAAUUUUGACGGUACCCACAGAGGAAGCACCGGCUAACUCCGUGCCAGCCGCCGC
Molecule: ribosomal RNA, 487 nt
Filed under: uncultured bacterium
Lineage: Bacteria
Description: bacterial SSU rRNA
Rfam family: Bacterial small subunit ribosomal RNA
Source: RNAcentral